GACGAACGCUGGCGGCGUGCUUAACACAUGCAAGUCGAGCGGAAAGGCCCUUCGGGGUACUCGAGCGGCGAACGGGUGAGUAACACGUGGGUAACCUGCCCCUUGCUCUGGGAUAACUCCGGGAAACCGGGGCUAAUACCGGAUAUGACACUUGAAGGCAUCUUUGGGUGUGGAAAGUUUUUCGGCGAGGGAUGGACCCGCGGCCUAUCAGCUUGUUGGUGGGGUAAUGGCCUACCAAGGCAGUGACGGGUAGCCGGCCUGAGAGGGCGACCGGCCACACUGGGACUGAGACACGGCCCAGACUCCUACGGGAGGCAGCAGUGGGGAAUAUUGCGCAAUGGGCGAAAGCCUGACGCAGCGACGCCGCGUGA
Molecule: ribosomal RNA, 371 nt
Filed under: uncultured bacterium
Lineage: Bacteria
Description: bacterial SSU rRNA
Rfam family: Bacterial small subunit ribosomal RNA
Source: RNAcentral